Molecule: ribosomal RNA, 213 nt
Filed under: uncultured fungus
Lineage: Eukaryota; Fungi
Description: partial small subunit ribosomal RNA
Rfam family: Eukaryotic small subunit ribosomal RNA (bases 39-213)
Source: RNAcentral
GGGUUCUACCGUUGGUCAGGCUAUUGUCUGUACUGGCGUGUAGAAUUUCUACCUUCUGGGGAACUAUCAUGUUAUUAAUUUAGCGUGGUAGGAAACCAGGACCUUUACCUUGAAAAAAUUAGAGUGUUCAAAGCAGGCUUAUGUCUGAAUACAUUAGCAUGGAAUAAUAAAAUAGGACGGUGGUCCUGUUUUGUUGGUUUCUGAAUCACCGUA